GACGAAAGUCUGACGGAGCAACGCCGCGUGAGUGAUGAAGGUUUUCGGAUCGUAAAGCUCUGUUGUUAGGGAAGAACAAGUACCGUUCGAAUAGGGCGGUACCUUGACGGUACCUAACCAGAAAGCCACGGCUAACUACGUGCCAGCAGCCGCGGUAAUACGUAGGUGGCAAGCGUUGUCCGGAAUUAUUGGGCGUAAAGGGCUCGCAGGCGGUUUCUUAAGUCUGAUGUGAAAGCCCCCGGCUCAACCGGGGAGGGUCAUUGGAAACUGGGGAACUUGAGUGCAUAAGAGGAGAGUGGAAUUCCACGUGUAGCGGUGAAAUGCGUAAAGAUGUGGAGGAACACCAGUGGCGAA
This 354-nucleotide ribosomal RNA is filed under the name Bacillus subtilis. RNAcentral's name for it is "bacterial SSU rRNA". It matches the Rfam family "Bacterial small subunit ribosomal RNA", at positions 374 to 719 of the family's 1533-position model. Lineage: Bacteria; Bacillati; Bacillota; Bacilli; Caryophanales; Bacillaceae. The record is from RNAcentral.